UGAGUAAUUUUAGAAUAUUAGUGAAUAAAAAUCAAAGGGAGUAUGGAGCAUUUUGAUCACAACUAGGGCUGGCAAAAACUGACCCGACCCGAAAACCCGACCCGAACCCGAUCCGAAAAAAGCGGGUUAGGGUUGAGGUUUCCGACCCGAAAACUUAAAUGGGUCGACACGAACCCGAACCUGAAAUUAAAUGGGUUAGCUUAAGGUUGAAAAUCUCAACCCGAAAACGACCCACUUAACCCGAAAUAAAUUUCAGGUCAAAAUCAGGUCGGGUCAACCCGAACCCGACCUGAUAACCCGAACUAAUUUAAGUAAGAAAAAGAAAAAAAACGUAAAAAGCUUAUUAAGCCCAGCCCAAAUUCACAAAGAGGCUUCCAUAUAUAAAUUCAAUACCCUAAAUGAACUCAUUUCCCCUCAUUGAUCUUCAGCCGUUUUUCCCCUCAAUUCUCUCUCUUUAAUUUUCUCUCUCCUCAAAAACUCAUUGUUGAAUUCGACAGAGGUAGUUCCGUUAAGCCCAACUUUACCAUUGUCAUUUCCUUGACGGCUUGAAUCCUUCACUCCUCCACGAAUUCCUCUCCUUCAUCAAAGGUUUGGCAGCAAGAAGUAGCCCACCCAUGUUCAAUUCGAAAUGUUGUGGAUCAAUUUUGAAGCUUGAGGUGGUGAACAAGGAUGACAGCCAUGACAAAUUGACAGUCCCAACAUCGCCCGAUCUUAAUACAAAUGAAAAUCUUAUUGCAUCUUCUAUUAUUUUUUGAAAACUGUAAUUUGUGUUAUUAAAACUUUAUCUUUGGUUUGUAAUUAGUGAAUUACAAUUUUUAUUGGUUUAUUAUCGUUAAGUAGGAUUGUUACUUUGUUAGACUAA
Molecule: long non-coding RNA, 862 nt
Organism: Chenopodium quinoa (quinoa)
Lineage: Eukaryota; Viridiplantae; Streptophyta; Magnoliopsida; Caryophyllales; Amaranthaceae
Exons: 2
Source: RefSeq, a predicted model, not a curated record